RNAcentral lists this ribosomal RNA (236 nucleotides) under uncultured Actinomycetales bacterium. Its description in RNAcentral is "partial 16S ribosomal RNA". It matches the Rfam family "Bacterial small subunit ribosomal RNA", at positions 97 to 334 of the family's 1533-position model. The record is from RNAcentral. Lineage: Bacteria; Bacillati; Actinomycetota; Actinomycetes; Actinomycetales.
GGCGAACGGGUGAGUAACACGUGAGUAACCUGCCCUUGACUUUGGGAUAACUUCAGGAAACUGGGGCUAAUACCGGAUAGGAGCUCCUGCUGCAUGGUGGGGGUUGGAAAGUUUCGGCGGUUGGGGAUGGACUCGCGGCUUAUCAGCUUGUUGGUGGGGUAGUGGCUUACCAAGGCUUUGACGGGUAGCCGGCCUGAGAGGGUGACUGGCCACAUUGGGACUGAGAUACGGCCCAG